GACUUCUGGUUUAAUGCACCUGGCCCGCGGCCCACAAGGCCUGUGAGUGUCGGCGCGCUACCCUUAACUGGGCGGCUGGAACUGGAUCUUUUACUUUGAAAAAAUUAGAGUGUUAAAGCAGGCGUUUGCUCUGAAUACAUUAGCAUGGAAUAAUAAUCUAGGACUUCGGUUUUAUUUUGUUGGUUUUAUAACUGAAGUAAUGAUUGAUAGGGAUAGUUGGGGGUGCUAGUAUUGGCCGGUCAGAGGUGAAAUUUUUGGAUUCGGUCAAGACUAACUUAUU
This 280-nucleotide ribosomal RNA is filed under the name uncultured Cercozoa. RNAcentral describes it as "partial 18S ribosomal RNA". The stretch from base 54 to 280 matches the Rfam family "Eukaryotic small subunit ribosomal RNA", at positions 715 to 945 of the family's 1831-position model. The record is from RNAcentral. Lineage: Eukaryota; Cercozoa.